AGAGCGAACGCUGGCGGCAUGCUUAGCACAUGCAAGUCGCACGGCUGGGGUAACUCAGCAGUGGCGGACGGGUGAGUAACGCGUAGGUAUCUAUCUCUGGGUGGGGGACAACCGUGGGAAACUACGGCUAAUACCGCAUGAAGCCUGAGGGCCAAAGCAGCAAUGCGCCUGGAGAGGAGCCUGCGUACGAUUAGCUUGUUGGCGGGGUAAUGGCCCACCAAGGCGACGAUCGUUAGCUGGUCUGAGAGGAUGAUCAGCCACACUGGGACUGAGACACGGCCCAGACUCCUACGGGAGGCAGCAGUGGGGAAUAUUGGACAAUGGGCGCAAGCCUGAUCCAGCAAUGCCGCGUGAGUGAAGAAGGUCUUCGGAUUGUAAAGCUCUUUCGACGGGGACGAUGAUGACGGUACCCGUAGAAGAGCCCGGCUAACUUCGUGCCAGCAGCCGCGGU
RNAcentral lists this ribosomal RNA (451 nucleotides) under uncultured bacterium. Its description in RNAcentral is "SSU rRNA". It matches the Rfam family "Bacterial small subunit ribosomal RNA", at positions 26 to 521 of the family's 1533-position model. The record is from RNAcentral.